Molecule: unclassified non-coding RNA, 358 nt
Filed under: Hevea brasiliensis (rubber tree)
Lineage: Eukaryota; Viridiplantae; Streptophyta; Magnoliopsida; Malpighiales; Euphorbiaceae
Source: RNAcentral
AAUGAAAUAAGAGCAUUCAUAAAAUAACUAUAUUCACAACUGCAAAAGCAUAUUAGAUAGUAAAGUAAGAUAAAAUAAGCUAAAGCAAAUAUGUAAAGUGCAAGCACAGCCAUAAAAUAAAAUAAACCACAACUAUUACCAAAGUUUGAAAUUUAACAAAAAAAUUACAAAAUUAAACCCAAGACAUAAACUAACACAGAAAUUAAAACUAAGUCUGGAGCGAUAUUGGAUAUGGGUAAGACAGGUAGAUCGACUGAAGCUUGAGCCGUUGGGACCCAGUGCUUUUUGUGGAUAAGUUAGGGUGAGUACGGCUUUGAGUUGAUUUUGCUAACCACCGCAUUUGGAUUAUUAAAAAAAA